GGCCCGACAACUUCAGUGGAAUCAACUAGGUGUGCUGCUUUUCCAAAGAAGGUGUUAACUCCAGUUGCUAUGACCACAGCUUCAAUUUCACCAUGCUUACAUGUUGAACCAGAAAAUACUUCAUNNNNNNNNNNNUGACAGGGAGAGAUUCUCCAGUAAGAGCUGACUGGUCAAUUUUUAGUGGAUCUCCGUUGAGCAAUCGAGCAUCUGCAGGUAUGAUAUCUCCAAGCUUUAUGCUAAUU
RNAcentral lists this unclassified non-coding RNA (242 nucleotides) under Hevea brasiliensis (rubber tree). Lineage: Eukaryota; Viridiplantae; Streptophyta; Magnoliopsida; Malpighiales; Euphorbiaceae. The record is from RNAcentral.